This 401-nucleotide long non-coding RNA is filed under the name Homo sapiens (human). RNAcentral's name for it is "HSALNT0323202". Lineage: Eukaryota; Metazoa; Chordata; Mammalia; Primates; Hominidae. The record is from RNAcentral.
GCAAGAUUACAGACAGCUUGGAGACUACAGGGUCUGUUUGAAUAAGAGACUGAAGAACUUUUGGGGACAGGACUUUUCCAUAAGAAAACGUCCUAAUAAGAAGAUAAGGUGACCGAAUAAGGGGAUUACUUGGCAGAGAUAUGAGAGAACUGGGUUCUUGACCCCACUUUGCCAUGAACUUGGGCAGAGGAGCCUUUCCCUGUGGCCACCACUGCCUUCAGCCCAUAAGGGAGUUUUUCCAGGCUACCUCCGAUGAUCACUUAAAGCUCAACAGCUCUUCAUUCAGCUUGUGGUGAGUGUGCCAGGCCUGGGACCCCCACUUUAGGGCAGUGGGGCUCCUCUCUGGUCCAGGACAGGUCUAGAAAUUCUGUCCAAGAGCUUAGGCCUGGACUCAAAGACCC